AGCAGCCGCGGUAAUUCCAGCUCCAAUAGCGUAUAUUAAAGUUGUUGCAGUUAAAAAGCUCGUAGUUGAAUUUCGAGAUCAAAUUGUUGGUCGUGCCUUGGUACGCACUGGCAUUAUUGAUUUCUCCCUUCUGACGAACCAUGAUGUCAUUAAUUUGGUGUCUUGGGGAAUCAGGACUGUUACUUUGAAAAAUUAGAGUGUUUAAAGCAGGCUCACGCUUGAAUACAUUAGCAUGGAAUAAUGAAAUAGGACGUUUGAUUCUAUUUUGUUGGUUUCUAGGAUCGACGUAAUGAUUAAUAGGGAUAGUUGGGGGCAUUAGUAUUCAAUUGUCAGAGGUGAAAUUCUUGGAUUUAUUGAAGACUAACUACUGCGAAAGCAUUUGCCAAGGAUGUUUUCAUUAAUCAAGAACGAAAGUUAGGGGAUCGAAGACGAUCAGAUACCGUCGUAGUC
RNAcentral lists this ribosomal RNA (450 nucleotides) under uncultured Glomus. RNAcentral describes it as "SSU rRNA". It matches the Rfam family "Eukaryotic small subunit ribosomal RNA", at positions 569 to 1025 of the family's 1831-position model. Lineage: Eukaryota; Fungi; Glomeromycota; Glomeromycetes; Glomerales; Glomeraceae. The record is from RNAcentral.